RNAcentral lists this ribosomal RNA (253 nucleotides) under uncultured bacterium. RNAcentral's name for it is "partial 16S ribosomal RNA". It matches the Rfam family "Bacterial small subunit ribosomal RNA", at positions 524 to 776 of the family's 1533-position model. The record is from RNAcentral.
UACGUAGGGUGCGAGCGUUGUCCGGAAUUACUGGGCAUAAAGAGCUCGUAGGUGGUUUGUCGCGUUGUUCGUGAAAUCUCACGGCUUAACUGUGAGCGUGCGGGCGAUACGGGCAGACUGGAGUACUGCAGGGGAGACUGGAAUUCCGGGUGUAGCGGUGAAAUGCGCAGAUAUCAGGAGGAACACCGGUGGCGAAGGCGGGUCUCUGGGCCGAUAUUGACGCUGAGGAGCGAAAGCGUGGGGAGCGAACAGG